RNAcentral lists this ribosomal RNA (549 nucleotides) under uncultured bacterium. Its description in RNAcentral is "bacterial SSU rRNA". It matches the Rfam family "Bacterial small subunit ribosomal RNA", at positions 355 to 896 of the family's 1533-position model. The record is from RNAcentral.
UAGGGAAUCUUCGGCAAUGGACGGAAGUCUGACCGAGCAACGCCGCGUGAGUGAAGAAGGUUUUCGGAUCGUAAAGCUCUGUUGUAAGAGAAGAACGAGUGUGAGAGUGGAAAGUUCACACUGUGACGGUAUCUUACCAGAAAGGGACGGCUAACUACGUGCCAGCAGCCGCGGUAAUACGUAGGUCCCGAGCGUUGUCCGGAUUUAUUGGGCGUAAAGCGAGCGCAGGCGGUUAGAUAAGUCUGAAGUUAAAGGCUGUGGCUUAACCAUAGUACGCUUUGGAAACUGUUUAACUUGAGUGCAAGAGGGGAGAGUGGAAUUCCAUGUGUAGCGGUGAAAUGCGUAGAUAUAUGGAGGAACACCGGUGGCGAAAGCGGCUCUCUGGCUUGUAACUGACGCUGAGGCUCGAAAGCGUGGGGAGCAAACAGGAUUAGAUACCCUGGUAGUCCACGCCGUAACGAUGAGUGCUAGGUGUUAGACCCUUUCCGGGGUUUAGUGCCGAAGCUAACGCAUUAAGCACUCCGCCUGGGGAGUACGACCGCAAGGUUG